CCUGAGUCUACAAGCGAGAGGACCGUACGCUUGCAAGGAAAAAGGAGCCUUUUUAAGGACUACAUAUGGCGUCGUCGAAAGGCCACAGGAAGACGGAAUAUCAACAGGAUUCCGUCCAGGCAACCUCGGCAUCCACACCGGUGCCCAAGCAGCAGCAAGAACCAAGAAAGCUUGCGCGCUUGAAAAACAAACCCGAUAGAAGGUGACCGGCAACCAUGACACCGUCAUCAACUACCAUCCUACGAGCGAGGGGACGAGGCAAAACAGACUUUCCUCCUUUCGUGCUUUGGCUGUGACUUCUUGCAAGGGACACACCAGCUUUGUUUCUUUCUCAACGCCUGUGGCCGCACAGCAAAAGGCAAAACACCCCACCCCAGUUUGCGCGUGCCUUACAUCCUCGCCAGCCCCAGCCCCUGCAGUGUUCCCAAUGCCACCAUAUUGGGCACGCAAGCGCGACCUGCUCGCGAGACCAACCGUGCCUGCGCUGCGGCGUCAUACAUGCCAGAGACCGUGUGCAGCACAACAUCCACGCUGCCAAAAUUGUAGCGGAAAACAAUCCGCAACCAAGCUACGCGUCACUUCUCGGCAGCUCCAGCGCAAAGCUGUGUUCUUCAUGGUCUCAUCUGACAGCACCACGACUUGCCGCCAAGCCCUGUAGCCGUGCGAAAAUCAUGUUCCGCUCUUUCCGGAAUCACCUUGUCGAUAACAGCGGCGUGGCCCCGGAAGCCGUCCUGCGAUCUACAUCGAGUGCGCUGUCGUCUCCACGAACACGACGAGGGCUUCGUUCUCGUCUCAACCGGCUGUGGUCGUCGUCACUACGCACUCGACGACGACGAAGACACCACGUGCUUCAUCGCAUCUUCUGGCUGCUGCCGCCAUCUCCAAAAGUUUGACGACCACGCCACCAGCACCCUCGAUGCCACCGGCCUGCGCCGGCCUCUCGACUUAGAUGAGUGGCGUUUUCUAACAAUUUAGUAUGUGUUAAGUAGGACUACAGGUAUUUUUUUCUGUUUUAUGACAAUAUCAACCAGCGAGAGGUCAACGAUGAGCCACUGUGCUUAUUUGCUUGUUCUAAAUAUUACAGAAAAAUAAAGAAAACUGGUGGUGGGGGGUGGGGGCUGUGCGAUUACUAUACGGCACGCAUCCCGAAACAUGGAGCUUUUGCUGUUGUUUCAUGCUGUGCAUAGUUUGUGUUGCGUAACAAUUUACACGUCGACAUGUGCCAACCUAUACCUUGAUUGGGCAGUCUCCGACUCGGGGAAAUGAUAAGCUGACAUUUUUCUACUUAUGACCAACCAUGAUCGGUGAGUUACAGCCUUGUCUGUUGCGAAACAUUUAACCACCACUCGUGUAGCCGCCUUUGUUUUCGCUUCAUUUUCCUAUUACGUUUUAGUACCAUGGGUUUCGUGAAACAUCAGUCUUGUAGCUCUGGUCAACAUGGCUAUCAGUGUAGUUUAUGUUACUGCAUGAAAGCGGACGAGAAACCGCUCACUUCUCAGCCGGGUAACUGGCUUGACGCGUUGAAAUUGUUUUGCCCUUAGGAUUUGUGUAGCCCGAAUACUCGCCAAAGUUUUCUUGAAAAUAACUUGGCGGAAUACUUGCCGCGAGUGUACAAAUCAAUUUGGACAGCGGGAUACAUUGUACAACAUGUGGGAUAUAGAAGCCGAAUCGCGAAACAGAAAAACUGAGUUGGUCACUUCGUGUGUGAAGUAUUUAGCAAAGGAAGACAAUUUUUCACGUCGUCAGGAACCGGGUGUGACAAGUUUUGCGAUGUAGUACACCCCAUAGGUAAUAUCUUCGUAGAGCGAAACAUAAUUAGAGCACGUUGUGGCGGUUGCUUCUCUAUCUCUUAAUUUAGCUAGUUACCUUUGGAAACGAUGAGAUGAUUUCACAUAGGCAGUACAACUUGGAGACAAACUACUUGAUAAAAUGAACAAUAUAUGACUCUUCAGCCAA
RNAcentral lists this long non-coding RNA (1956 nucleotides) under Rhipicephalus microplus (southern cattle tick). RNAcentral's name for it is "uncharacterized LOC119161594". The record is from RNAcentral. Lineage: Eukaryota; Metazoa; Arthropoda; Arachnida; Ixodida; Ixodidae.